RNAcentral lists this ribosomal RNA (508 nucleotides) under uncultured bacterium. Its description in RNAcentral is "partial 16S ribosomal RNA". It matches the Rfam family "Bacterial small subunit ribosomal RNA", at positions 30 to 523 of the family's 1533-position model. The record is from RNAcentral.
AUUGAACGCUGGCGGCAUGCCUUACACACGCAAGUCGAACGGCAGCGGGGGAGAAGCUUGCUUUUCCUGCCGGCGAGUGGCGAACGGGUGAGUAAUACAUCGGAACGUGCCCUGUAGUGGGGGAUAACUAGUCGAAAGAUUAGCUAAUACCGCAUACGACCUGAGGGUGAAAGUGGGGGACCGCAAGGCCUCAUGCUAUAGGAGCGGCCGAUGUCUGAUUAGCUAGUUGGUGGGGUAAAGGCCUACCAAGGCGACGAUCAGUAGCUGGUCUGAGAGGACGAUCAGCCACACUGGGACUGAGACACGGCCCAGACUCCUACGGGAGGCAGCAGUGGGGGAUUUUGGACAAUGGGCGAAAGCCUGAUCCAGCAAUGCCGCGUGUGUGAAGAAGGCCUUCGGGUUGUAAAGCACUUUUGUCCGGAAAGAAAUGGCUCUGGUUAAUACCUGGGGUCGAUGACGGUACCGGAAGAAUAAGGACCGGCUAACUACGUGCCAGCCGCCGCAGUAA